Molecule: non-coding RNA, 1081 nt
Organism: Anas platyrhynchos (mallard)
Lineage: Eukaryota; Metazoa; Chordata; Aves; Anseriformes; Anatidae
Source: RefSeq, a predicted model, not a curated record
GCCGGAGAUCUCGAGCUUCGUAGAAACUCUUUUCACACCUGUAACAGCAAAGGUUGUAGCAUUCUGUAUCAGCAAGAUCUUGGUAAUCCUGAUUUCCAAGGCACAGAAAUCUCCUUCUGUAACGGCAACUGAACACUUGGAGAAGACCUGUAGUGUCAUCAAUAUUAAUACAAAGCACAAACUCUUUCCAAACCAGGGGAAAUUAAAAGGAAGAGCAUCCUAUCUGAAAAUCUGGAAUACCAUUUGAGGACAUUGUUCUGAAACAUUUUUGUCUAUUAUGGAUGAUUAUAUUCCUUCUGUUUUUAUUACGAGGAUUAAUCAAAGGCAGACUGGCUGAAAGACAUCAAAAAGGUAUAUUAGAUCUUAAGAAUUACUAUGAGGGUUCUAACAGUUGUUUCCUCCCUUACCAAAGAGGAUUAAAUAAUAAAACAAAGAUAACAUAUCUGGGUGUUUUUUUUUCUGUAAUGCUGAAGUAUAUUUUUUUCAGAAGUUAAAAAACAAAUUCAGGAUUCUACAAGAAUGUAUCUAAGAUUAGCCAUGUUCAUUCUUUAGUGUGAAGUUUGAAUAUGUCUGAAACUAAAUUCCUAAAGUUUUUCUUCAUUUAUAUCUUCCCAUAGUGUGACUACAUAAAAUAACAAAUUUCUCUUGGUGUAAAAACUAUAGGAGUAGUCCAGCUAAAAACAUGCUUUAUCUUUGAAAGAUAUUUUGCCUUACAGACCUCUUCUUCUACCUAAUCUUCUACAUCUCUUCCUCAUGUAAGAUGACACACUGUAUGACUUGAGAAAGGACAGAGUGCAGAGAAAGGCCAACAAGCAAAGUUAUUCAUGGACUUCCAAGUCCACUGUAGAGGAUUUACAUUUUGUAGCUCAACCACCUCUGGAAAGAGGGAAUCUCUGAAUUCUAACUAAGUGGAAUCUGAAGAGAAGAAAGCUUCCAUAUGAGAACAAAACUUGUAAUAUCAGACUUCACAAAGAUUGGGUACCCUGGAAAGGCCAAUGAACUUUUGUUCUAUAACCAGGAUCUGCUUUUCAUCUUGAAGCAAAAUAAGGACAAAAACCACCCCAACAACAAACCAAAAGAA